UGGCAAGGCUGACAUAGCUUUUGCUGAUUUGUCUGCUUAUGAGUGGACAGGAUGCCAGUCUGGCAGUCUGCAUUGGCAAUAAAUCACCACUAGACAUUUUAUUUAAAAUUUGGCACUGGCUUGGAAGAGGUGAGGGAUUGUCAAUUUGUUUUUAUUUUGAGGCCAGGCACAACCAUAACACAAACAGGCCACCUGGAAAC
Mesocricetus auratus (golden hamster) is the source of this 200-nucleotide unclassified non-coding RNA. Ensembl annotates it as viral integration site 1. NCBI's taxonomy places the organism in Eukaryota, Metazoa, Chordata, Mammalia, Rodentia, Cricetidae. The record is from Ensembl.